CCUACGGGAGGCAGCAGUGGGGGAUAUUGCACAAUGGGGGGAACCCUGAUGCAGCGACGCCGCGUGGGUGAAGGAGUGCUUCGGCAUGUAAAGCCCUAUCGGCAGGGAAGAAGCAAGACGGUACCUGACUAAGAAGCCCCGGCUAACUACGUGCCAGCAGCCGCGGUACUACGUAGGGGGCAAGCGUUAUCCGGAUUUACUGGGUGUAAAGGGGGCGCAGACGGCAAUGCAAGCCAGGAGUGAAAGCCCGGGGCCCAACCCCGGGACUGCUCUUGGAACUGCAUGGCUGGAGUACAGGAGGGGCAGGCGGAAUUCCUAGUGUAGCGGUGAAAUGCGUAGAUAUUAGGAGGAACACCGGUGGCGAAGGCGGCCUGCUGGACUGUGACUGACGUUGAGGCCCGAAGGCGUGGGGAGUAAACAGGAUUAGAUACCCUGGUAGUC
This 441-nucleotide ribosomal RNA is filed under the name uncultured bacterium. RNAcentral describes it as "partial 16S ribosomal RNA". It matches the Rfam family "Bacterial small subunit ribosomal RNA", at positions 338 to 795 of the family's 1533-position model. The record is from RNAcentral.